This is a long non-coding RNA of Alexandromys fortis (reed vole), 6564 nucleotides long. RefSeq lists it as uncharacterized. The transcript is spliced from 4 exons. The record is from RefSeq and is a predicted model, not a curated record. Lineage: Eukaryota; Metazoa; Chordata; Mammalia; Rodentia; Cricetidae.
CAAGUACACGUGUAACAUGGCAGAGAAAUUGCAAGUGUCCCCCUGCCUAGUCCUGUUCCCCUACCCUUCUUAGGAGUCCUCUAUGUAAUGACACCUAGGGUAUCCCUUGACCCUCCUAACAGUCUUUUGACAGAGACACCCUGAUUAAACCCUGACCCCCGGGUAAACCACGGAGGAAAGAGCUUCAAAUCUGUUUGCAGCUGCACUGGGAGGAACUGACAGAACCUGGAUUUGAACACAGGGCAGCUGUCUAGAAAACCCCAGCCCCUAGCCGCCACAGGGGCCUCAACCAACCACGAACAGGCAGUCAGCAAAGGAUGACAAGCUAAAACAUCCUCUCCUGCCUCAGGAUUGUAGUUGAGGGUGAUUACGUGUGGAUCCCCCAUGUUCUCUGAGGCCUCGUGUCCUCCAGUCGUACCAGUAGCCAAGAUAGUAGCUCUGGCGGCAACCGCAUCUUCAUGCUCCCCCCAGCAUGCCAGCAUCUCCGUGGAGAACAACACCUCCCUCAGCCACCCACUCCCCAGCUGCUCCUCAAACACCAUUGUUACCACCACCGGGGUGGGUGUGGGUGGGUGUCAUCGCCUGUGAGUUGCCUCACAUGUGGAUAGAGCAGCUGGGAAACCUGCUGAGGGGAGGGGUGAUCCACUCAAACGGGACCUCACCCUCACUUAGAUCCUUGAGUGACCCCCAGACCCCACAGGACUCAGGUUUCUGGCCAGGCUUGAGCUGGGGAAGGGAGAGUCUUCCAUAUGAUAAGACCGGGGCUCUAGUCUUAAUGCACCCCCAGGCUCAGGAGUAUUCUCCUGGCUUCUCUGGGCCCCAGUUUUCCUUCUAGAGAUAGCCAGCGGGCUUCCGGGGCCUUCCAGAGCUGGUGUGUGGAGCUCACUUCCAUGUGAGUUCCCAAAGGGCUUGAAUCAUCUUUCCUCACGGCUGAGAAUGGAUUCAGAGCUCUGCAGCUGUAUCUGUCUGCACAGAUAGGGUCUCAUUUAGCUCAAUAACUGGACAGUGUCACCCUCCUGGUUAAAACAAAGCACGGGAAAUGGAAACAACCUUCCUUGAGUGGCAUCCUGUCUUUGGAAAACUCUUGUUUAGGGCUGGAGAAAUGGCUCAGGUGGUAAAGCCCUGGCAGCCUGAGGGUCUGAGUUCAGAUGUUCAGUACUUAUAUAAAAAGCCAGGCAGGCCGGGCGCUGGUGGCGCACGCUUUUAAUUCCACACUCGGGAGGCAGAAGCAGGCAGAUCUCUGUGAGUUCGAGGCCAGUCUGGUCUACAGAGUGAAUUCCAGGACAGCCAGGGCUACACAGAGAAACUCUGUCUUGAAAAACAAAAACAAGGCUGGGCGGUGGUGGUGCACGUCUUUAAUCCCAGCACCCGGGAGGCAGAGGCAGGUGGAUCUCUGUGAGAUGGAGGCCAGCCUGGUCUACAAGAGGUAGUUCCAGGACAGGCUCCAAAGCCACAGCGAAAUGCUAUCUUGAAAAACAAAGCAAACAAACAAAAAUGAAAAAAAGAAAAACAACCCCCCCCCAACAAACAAACAAACAAACAAAAAAUAAAACAAAGAAAAGCUGCCAUGUAGGUGCUGGGAACUGAACUCGGGUCUUCUGGAAGAGCAGCCCACAUUCUUUAACCGUUGAGCCAUUUCUCCAGCCCCUCCUAGUCUUCUAACCUGGAUUAUGCUGCAUUUAAGACUAAAACCUAAAUCACCAACCGAUAAGGUCAAUGUUGUAGGAGCUUGGGGACAUUGGGUCCCCAGUUUGGGAUUGCCUGUUAAGGGUGAGGAGGAGCUCCCACAGAGAUGACUGGGCCCGUUCACCUUGCGGGCAAGUGCUCAAACUGUGUGUGUGAGGUGGAGACAGGUUCCUGUAUAUAUUCUCCCAUCGCGGUAGCACAGGAGGUCCAGGGAGGAGGUGAGGCUGAGCAGCAGGGACGAAGGAGGACGUGUGUUCUGAGAAAUUUGGGGAAUUAGCUCUGAGGUUGCUCCAAGGAAAAAGUGAUGUUUUGAAUCAAGAGUUAUUAUAUGUCUGAGCGCGAAGCUUUUUAAAGAACACCGUGUUUACUUAACAGUUGUGUUUAUAGAUUUACUUAUACCUGGCUUGACUUCAAACAGAAUCCGAAGCAGGUAAUUAUUCAAUCAGAUUGUGAACUCCUAGAAGGCAGGAAGUGUUGUCCCCCCUGUCUUCUGAAAGGCUAACUCCCACUCCCCAUCCACCUCCCCACAAGCUGCAUUCUUGGUCGAAAUAAUCUGGGUCUGUGCCUUUGUUCUUCAUAGAAGUGCGAUCUCAGCCAGUACAUAUAUCAUACAUGUAUCCAUCUGUGCGUGUAUUCACUCAACAUGCCAUUUACCCACCAGUAAACCAAACAUCCAUGCAACCCAUGCAACCUAAUGUCCAUCUACACACUUAUACACCAUCUCUCCAUCCAACAAAUCCUCGAUCACCAAACAAAACACCCAGCUAGCCAAAUACCUAGCCAGCCUAAUGCUCAUUCAUGCCCACCCACUUCCAUCUAUACAUUCAUCCGUGUGUCCAUAUAUUUGUCUAACCAACUAUUCAUCCACUUAUGUAUCUGUGCAAUCAUCCAGUAAUAAAGAUAUCUAUCAGUCAUUCACCCUUUCAGAACCCCUGGAAGCUGCCCAACAAAACAAGCUUCAAGGAGCUACAUUUUCCCCAGAGAUCACACUUUUCCCAGAGCUGUGUGACUUGCAGAGAAGACACUAACCAUUGAGUAAAGGAAACCCAAGACCCCCAAAGACUCUGUGAAAGGAGAUUAUUAUCCCUAUAUUUUAUAUGAGAAAAGAGAAUUUUAGUGACUUGUCCAAGGUCAUCUUUGAAUUAUCUGUUUGGCUGUCUGUCUGUGUGCGUUCGUUGGCACAUGUGUGCCACAGUGUAUAUGUGGAGGUCAGAGGGCAACUCUUGGGUUUUCUUGUCACCAAGAUCAUCUUUAAGGGAGGUCUCCAAAGACCAGCAUCUGGUUACAGAGCCCAUUAUCUUUUGCUCCCUACUGGGUGGGAGAAGAGAGAGGAGCAGCAGGUUUGCAAAUAGACCUGGGUAGGGGAAGGAGGCAACACUCUCCCUAUGCAUAUCAUUGCUUGAUCUUCCCCCUCCUCCCCCUUCUCCUCCUCCCCUCCUCCCCAUCUUCCUCCUCUUCUGUAGUACAUCUUAAAUUUACUCUUCUCUCACAUAACACAUUCCAACCACAGCUUCCCCUCCCUCCACUCCUCACAGUCCCCUCCCACCUCCCCUCUCCCCCAGAUCCAUGCCCCACCACCCCCAGAAAAGAGGUGUGCUUCCUACUUCUUGUUGCUCCUCCGGGGAAGGUCCUAGCCUUGCACCUGGCCUCCAUCUUCUUAACUAUGCGACUCUGCAGGCCAUUGUACCAGGGAGGGCCUGGGAAAGCCCACUAAUGCCAACAGCAUUGACUCCAGAAGCCCUGGCAUGUUGACAAAUAGGAACUGGACUGCUUUAAACUCAAGAGGAGCCUUAUGUUUCUUAUAGCCUGAAGUCCAUUUCCUGCUUGCUUCACCUCCCCCACCCUCUGCUCUUUUUGCCUUGUGCACUGACAUCUUGUUCAUUUGUCUGCUUCACUUUUCUGAGCAUGAAUAACAGACUCUUUUUUUGGGGGGGGUGGAAAACAAUUGUUCCUCUCUCGUUCUGGUUCUAACCCCAGCCAGGGGGUGGGUAGCCACCAGGCUGGGCCAAUUGUAGUUACUCAGAUCAUGUCUGGGUGUGGCAUAGAGGUAGCUGUCACCCAGCCUGACUAAGCAGAACCCUUCUGUGGGGCUUUCUAAGCGCGGCAGAUGGGGAGAGUGUCUUUUUGUGGGCUGUUCAGAGGCUUCUCAGCUCUCGGAUAGGAGCCCUUCACAGCUGAGCAGUGAGCAGCCACCAAAAAGGGAGAGAGCAUCUUGAUGGAGCCCAAGGACUAGUGUUGCCAUGGCUCCUGGGUCAACUCCAGCUGAGAUACCUUUGCUUUGUUUUUAGUUCAGGGAUGGGUGGGCAACCCGCUGGCCCUCUCCUUCAUGCUUGAAUCGGGAUUCUGUCCCUCGCAGGGAGUCAGUCUUGGCACCCACAUUCCCAUACCAGCGACUCCCAGGUCUCCUUUGGCCGAGCCCUCUCUUUUAGUUCUGCAUCCCAUCACGGUCAGUUUCUUUUACUUUUUUUUUUUUUUAAAUUUUAUUUUCCAGACAGGGUUUCUUUGUGUGUUCCUGGCUGUCCUGGAACAUGUUCUAUAGACCAGGUUGGCCUUGAACUCACAGAGAUCCACCUGCCUCUGCCUUCCUGAGUGCUGGGAUUAAAAGAGUGCACUGCCACUGGCAGGCACAGUUUCUUAAACUCCCCUUCUCAGUCUUGGAGAUUUUUUCCCUCUCUGCUCCUGGCUCACACUCUUGAGUCUCUGUUUGUAUCCAGCACAGUCUUGGUUAUACUACUGCUGUGUAGCCUUCAAUGGCUCCCCUUUAUUCUUAAGGUUAAACUUAACUUUAAGAAAUGAAACUUCGGCUGGGUGGUGGUGGUGUAUGCCUUUAAUACCAGCACUUGGGAGGCAGAAGCAGGUGGAUCUCUGUGAAUUUCAGGCCAGCCUGGUCUACAGAGCGAGUUCCAGGACAGCCAGGGCUACAUACUGGACUGUCUCAAAACAAAAAUCAAUCAAACAAACAAAAACAUCCCAAACCAAACCAAACCAACCAAACAAAACUUCUGUGUCUGGAGAGAAGGUUCAGUGUCUUCAGAGCACCUGCGGGACUUUCAGAGGACCAGAAUUUGGUUCUCAGGACCCACAUAGAAGCUAACAACUACCAGCAACUAACUCACUCACUCACUCACUCACUCACUCACUCACUCACUAACUAACACUAACUAACUAAUUAGCUAACAAGUACCUGCAACUCUAGCUUCAGAGGAUCCGGUACCCUUUUCUUUAUUUUAUGUGUUGAGUGUUUUGUCUGCAUGUAUGUGUAUGUACCACAAGCAUGUCACAUGCCGGUGGGGCUAGAAGAGGCCGUCACAUCCCUUGGAAGGAGGGCUACAGAGUUGUGAGCCCACACAUGAGUGCUGGGAACCAAACCUGGAUCCUCUGCAAGAGCAGCAGGUGCUUUUAACCUCGGAGCCACCUUUGUGGCUCCCAUAUGCCUCAUUUCUAAUUCUUCAACCAUUUCGAAUUUACGGCGCUUUAUCCGACUCCUUCCAGUUCUUAUACAAGCGUGGUGUGGUUGUCCACACACACACACACACACACACACACACACACACACACACACACACACACCGUGCUACUAACAACAGCGUAGACAUUUCCCAUAGCAUUUCAGCAACUUUCCCAGGGUUGUCUUGUUUCUGUCUAAGGCUCUGGUCAGGACACUAGACUGGCUUUUCAGUAGAGCACCAGAAAUCCUUCACGAUCUAACCUAUGGCUUCCUCCAGCCUGCCCCUGGUCCCUUUUCCCCACCUCCUUCUGCUCUGGUUACCCAGAUUGGACUGCACUUUCUGUAAGGGACUAGGCCUUCUUUCACUCCCGGGACGCUGCACAUCUCUCCUCCUGACCCUUCCUUUUCCCUUCUAACAUUUAGUCAUCCCUGAGGACUGACUUGGGGUGCUCUCCUCCAUGGAAUCUUCCUGACCUUCUGUUAUAUCCCCCACCCCCCACUGAACUUUUUUUUCUCCUUUUGAGAUAGGGUUUCUUUGUGUAACAGCUCUGGCUGUCCUGGAACUCACUUUGUAGACCAGGCUGUCCUCGAACUCACAGAGAUCCACCUGCCUCUGCCUUCUGAGUGGUGGGAGUAAAGUUGUGCGCCACCAUGUCCAGCUCCUCACGACGCCUUUUGCCCCAAUUCUGAUUAUUGAUUUCCUGGUCUUCCUGGUUAUGCUGGAGCCCUCUGGGGCCAGCACCCCAUUUCAUUAUCUCCGUGGGAAUACAGUGAGAUGGGAAAUAGUGACUUUCACAGAAGUACUGCCUCAGGUCAGAGACAGGAGUCAGGCAGCCUAGGGAGACACCCAGGGAGGCUUGUAAGUAUGGCUGUGCCGCAGGCAUAUUUGAUGGAGUUCUUUCUAUAGUGUGGGCUUUGCCAUCCCCCUCUUUUUGCAGAUGAAGGAUCAGACACCUGCUCAGGCAGGCGCACAGCUACUAGGAGGUGGGUCACCGAACUGCUUGGUUGGCAGAGACUGCUCUAGACCUGUGCAGGUGGGCAGGCGGGAAGGUUCCAGGCUGGGGCAGCCGAUGAAGCUGUCAUUUUGGAAGCUCCUGCCUCCAGGUUCCUGCUGUGUUUGGGUUCCUGUCCCAACUUCCUUCAACUAUGUACUAUGAUGUGGAAAAAGAAAAUGUUGGACAAUCUAACAGAAAAGCCCCUGAGGGACCUGGGAGAUGAGGUCACCAGCACUGGGAGGGGUGGUCCCCCUGGAAUCAAUGCUGUGUGGAGCUUUUAGUUCUUUCUGAAAGAAACAGGGCUUCGCUGUUCUUGGUGAGGAGGAACCAGGAGGACAGAAGACAGUCCCUGCCGUUGGAGGCCAUUGACAGCAGGCAGACAGAUCCCAAGUAGAAUCGGUGAGCGUCACCUGUGACCAGCCCAGCAAUGCUAGG